UACGGGGGGGGGCAAGCGUUGUCCGGAAUCACUGGGCGUAAAGGGCGCGUAGGCGGUCGUGACAAGUCACUUGUGAAAUCUCCGGGCUUAACUCGGAACGGUCAAGUGAUACUGUCGGACUAGAGUACAGAAGGGGCAACUGGAAUUCUCGGUGUAGCGGUGAAAUGCGUAGAUAUCGAGAGGAACACCUGCGGCGAAGGCGGGUUGCUGGGCUGAUACUGACGCUGAGGCGCGAAAGCCAGGGGAGCGAACGGG
Molecule: ribosomal RNA, 255 nt
Filed under: uncultured bacterium
Lineage: Bacteria
Description: partial 16S ribosomal RNA
Rfam family: Bacterial small subunit ribosomal RNA
Source: RNAcentral